CGUGCGCGUUUUCUGAUGGCUGUUGUGAGGUCUGCGAGGGUCUUCGUCUCGUUAAGGAUGCACCGUGCAGACUUCAUGGCGAGGUGGCCUUCCACGAGAGGCGCCGAGCAUGCGGUUUGCUUUGGACUCUGUGAUGGUGGCCCUUCAGAAUGGAGCCUGGAUUCUUGGUCUGUGGAGAUCUGAGGAGACUUGGCAUGGCAUGAGGAGGAGUUGGUCCUGUGCUGCUCCAGGAAGCUGCUGUGUGGACAGGCGCCAUGUCACCCGCCCAGUCUGCAGCCUGAAGGCCUCCACUUGACGACACGUUUGAAGUGAAGUCGGCCGAGUGUGGAGUGAACUGGGACCCCUCUGGAGAUGGCAGGUGGCAUAACACGCUGGCAGUAUGGACACCUGUGUGGCAUCACAACACGCUGGCAGUACGGACACGUGGGUGGCAUCACAACACGCUGGCAGUAUGGACACCUGGGUGGCAUCAUAACAUGCUGGCAGUACGGACACCUGGGUGACUGCGAGCAGAAUGUCCAGGUGGUCUGCAGAUGGACCCUGUGGAGUGAGGUGCCACUUCCCUGGUGGUGGCUUCUUGAUUGGUUUAAAUAAAAGCUUUUUUUGUGUUUGACUCA
Molecule: long non-coding RNA, 617 nt
Organism: Erpetoichthys calabaricus (reedfish)
Lineage: Eukaryota; Metazoa; Chordata; Cladistia; Polypteriformes; Polypteridae
Exons: 5
Source: RefSeq, a predicted model, not a curated record